RNAcentral lists this transfer RNA (71 nucleotides) under Candidatus Daviesbacteria bacterium. RNAcentral describes it as "tRNA-Gln". It matches the Rfam family "tRNA". From Rfam's summary of the family: Transfer RNA (tRNA) molecules are approximately 80 nucleotides in length. Their secondary structure includes four short double-helical elements and three loops (D, anti-codon, and T loops). The record is from RNAcentral. Lineage: Bacteria; Candidatus Daviesiibacteriota.
UGCGGGAUAGUGUAAUGGUAGCACAGCAGACUCUGGAUCUGUUAAUCUAGGUUCAAAUCCUAGUCCCGCAG